UUGAAAUUCAUUGUGUGUUUUGCCUUUAUAUAAGGAGUUUUGCGUUUUUUACCGAUAACCAAAGGGGGACACUAGGGGGAAGUAACUGCUAUUUUUUUUUUCUGGAGAGGGCUGAAAUAAGGGGUUCACCGGUUCUUUCACAAUCAGAUGGUGUCCCAGGACUGCAAGUAACUGCGUACAUCCACACAGCGCAUUACACCAACCUGAGAAGAAUCCUUGCGUGACCGGAUUGUUUCUGAACCUGCCGAGCCCCUGCUGCAUCUGGGACCCGCCUUCACCGUUUCCCAAUCCCAGCGGUUAGCCCCUGCG
This 309-nucleotide long non-coding RNA is filed under the name Homo sapiens (human). RNAcentral's name for it is "non-protein coding lnc-SAP30-21:1". The record is from RNAcentral. Lineage: Eukaryota; Metazoa; Chordata; Mammalia; Primates; Hominidae.